Molecule: long non-coding RNA, 1321 nt
Organism: Ctenopharyngodon idella (grass carp)
Lineage: Eukaryota; Metazoa; Chordata; Actinopteri; Cypriniformes; Xenocyprididae
Exons: 4
Source: RefSeq, a predicted model, not a curated record
UUCCAGGAGAUAAAAACACCAUGAGAGGGUCGUUUCAUCACAAAGUUUUUUUUCGACUCUUCGAAACUUCAUCUCAUCUUAAGCUGAUUUUUUCCUGUCUCGCCAUGGCCCAGAAACAAAGUAAGUUAAACUCUAUCUUUUAAAAAUACUUGUCUAGAUAAAAUGUUUUGCUUUCUAUUUUGAAUGUCUUGUUGUAAACAAUGUUUUAUAGAUUUUUAAGUAUAAGAUUGUUAUAUUAACUAAUUGAGCAUAUUAUUAUUUUUUAGAAAGUAUUUUUCACCUAACAAGCUUUCCGUUUUAGUCACAAACGCUUUGGAAUUGAUUGCGUUUCAAGAAUUAGAUCGAAUCAGCGCUGAACAACUCAGAAUCCAGAAUUCGAAUGCUGUCUCCGAUCCUAUUCAAGACAUCCAACAGUUUUUGACUCAGCCGGGUUUUGUCGAUUUAACCCAAUCAUCCGAAUUGACUGGAGAAGAAUCUUCAAUUGAACAGCUUGCAACGCCAGAGACCACCACCAGUGAUCGCUAUGAUGAAUCUGAACUUCCGUCAGGACAACGUGUGAUUCCGGUCGAUGGUAGUAGACAGAGAAAUAACAGAGAGUCGGUUGAAGACACCAACUUAAACGAUGUAACCAGAUGGACAUCUACACAGCUGAACGCUUGGGAGCAAUCGUCUUGGAGCAGUGAUUGUGAAGUGCCCACGAGAGGUCGUCAGACACCGUUUGCUUUUCAGGAAGAAGCAAUAGAUUCUGUGAAUAAUGGUCAAGGUUGUAUUGAAAACUUAUUUGUGGAUAUGAUAAAUCGUCUUAGUAGACAACGUGAAGAAAUUCUCACCAAAUUGCAUCAACAGCAUAAUGAGAUUUGCAACAGACUAGCCAUUUACGACACUUACUUCGAUGAGAUUCGCGAUCGUCUGAAUAGACAAGAUGACAGAAUUCGCGAGCUGAUAGACAGCUGUGCCCGCUCUUCCCGCGGAAUGUUUGAAAAUUUUGCAAUCAUUCACGAUGCGUUACGUGAACACUUACGAGAGCGUCGUUUGAUUGUGGAUCUCCUCGGUGCUAUACAUCACCAAUUAUUUCGUAGAUAGAUAUCAUCCUGUUUAGCUUUGCUACAUCUCUUACAUAGCAUGUUUUCAUUAUAUUUUUUAAAAAAAUGUAUCCAUGAUUUUCACACUAUGAUUUAAAAACAUGUAUUACUGUUUAAUCUUUUUCUCACUGAUUUUUAAAACAUUUAUCCAAUAACUUGUAUCUUUUCAGUCUGUUUUUAAAAAUGGUAUCUUUUCAAAAUUGUAUUCAACAUAUUUCAAUCUUGUCUUUUCACACUGU